RNAcentral lists this long non-coding RNA (1056 nucleotides) under Anser cygnoides (Swan goose). RNAcentral's name for it is "lncRNA (ENSACDG00005013882.1)". Lineage: Eukaryota; Metazoa; Chordata; Aves; Anseriformes; Anatidae. The record is from RNAcentral.
AUGAUCCUUGCGGGCCCCUUCCAACUGGGGCUACUUUGCGGUUCUCCGGUUCAGCUAGCAGGCAGCUCCCUGGGUCAAGGCGCAGCGAGCUGUGCCAAGCAUUCCCUGAGAGAACCACACCGGGCCGAGGGGAGCAGGGGUUUUUACGGGGUCCCUAGCGCCAGCCCGGCCUCGGGACCCCGACCCAGCCCGGCGGCCCGCCGGCGCGGCCCCUCAGCGCCACCUCAGCCCCCCGCCGGCCCCCGGCAGCUCGGAGGGGGGCUCCCCGCCGGUCCUCCCGGGCUGCCCCCGCCCCGCUGCAAUGCCCCGAGCCUCCGGAGCGGGGAGGCAGCGCCGCCAGCGCCCCGCCCGCCGCCACCGCCGCUGUGCCGGGGCAGGCGCCGAGCAGGUGGCCGCGGGCAGCGGCAUGUGAGCGGCCCCCGGCUGCUCCCCGCUCCCCCUCCGCAGCCAGGCGGCCGCCGGGCCCCCUCGCCUUGCCGUGUCCCCGUCCCCCCGUCGCCGGGCCGGCCGGGGGCUGAGCGCCGCGCCCCGCCGGGGGGCGGCCGUGGCGGAGGGCGGAGAGGAGGAGGAGGAGGGGGAGGAAGGCUGCGAGGGGCCGGAGGGACGCGGGAGNNNNNNNNNNNNNNNNNNNNCGGAGGGACGCGGGGCCCCGGCGCGGUGCCGGCUCUGCCCCGGGGGCCGAGGCGCCGAGCGCGGCCGGCCGGCUGCGGGCCGGGCGCGGGGGCCGCUGGAAAUCCAGCCCCAGGCUUCCCGGCCCUCCAGGCCCCGCGGGGACGGCGGCCGGGGGCAGCCCCCCGGAGGGGCCCGGGGCGGCCGGAGCGGCUCCGCGGGUGCGUGAGGCCCCGGCCUGCCGAGGGGCCGGUCCCGGCUCCCGCUUGUGCCGGCCUCCCUCAGCCCCAUGUUGAAAUCUCCGGCGGUGCGAGCACGCUCGGCUUGCCUUCCGCAGCAGAUCUGCUGGGGCUUCUAUCCCCCGUUUUUAAAAAUCCUUCUUCUUUUUCUUGCACGUUGUUGUUGCAAACUUCUCAGUCAGCCGGUUUGUUGGGACGGGAAACUUAA